RNAcentral lists this ribosomal RNA (468 nucleotides) under uncultured bacterium. Its description in RNAcentral is "partial 16S ribosomal RNA". It matches the Rfam family "Bacterial small subunit ribosomal RNA", at positions 28 to 507 of the family's 1533-position model. The record is from RNAcentral.
GACGAACGCUGGCGGCGUGCUUAACACAUGCAAGUCGAACGGAAAGGCCCUGCUUUUGUGGGGUGCUCGAGUGGCGAACGGGGGAGUAACACGUGAGUAACCUGCCCUUGACUUUGGGAUAACUUCAGGAAACUGGGGCUAAUACCGGAUAGGAUCUCCUGCUGCAUGGUGGGGGUUGGAAAGUUUCGGCGGUUGGGGAUGGACUCGCGGCUUAUCAGCUUGUUGGUGGGGUAGUGGCUUACCAAGGCUUUGACGGGUAGCCGGCCUGAGAGCGUGACCGGGGACAUUGGGCCUGAGAUACGGCCCAGAAUCCUACGGGAGGCAGUGGGCGAGAACCUUGCGCAGUGGGCGCGCGCCUGAGGCAGAAACCUCGGGUGCGGGAUGACGGCUUUCGGGUUGAAAACAGCUUUCGCCUGUGACGAAGCGUGAGUGACGGUAAUGGGUAAAGAAGCACCGGCUAACUACGUG